RNAcentral lists this ribosomal RNA (300 nucleotides) under uncultured Octadecabacter sp. RNAcentral's name for it is "bacterial SSU rRNA". It matches the Rfam family "Bacterial small subunit ribosomal RNA", at positions 496 to 795 of the family's 1533-position model. Lineage: Bacteria; Pseudomonadati; Pseudomonadota; Alphaproteobacteria; Rhodobacterales; Roseobacteraceae. The record is from RNAcentral.
GGUAACUCGGUGGCAGGCGGCGCGGGAAUACAGGGGAUGCAAGGGUUAUCCGGGAUGAUUGGGCGUAAAGCGUCUGUAGGUGGCUCUCCAAGUCUCCUGUUAAAUCCCAGAGCUUAACUUUGGAUCAGCAUGAGAAACUCGAGAGCUUGAGUACGGUAGGGGCAGAGGGAAUUCCCGGUGUAGCGGUGAAAUGCGUAGAGAUCGGGAAGAACACCGAUGGCGAAAGCACUCUGCUGGGCCGUUACUGACACUCAGAGACGAAAGCUAAGGGAGCGAAUGGGAUUAGAUACCCGAGUAGUC